Molecule: ribosomal RNA, 175 nt
Filed under: Trachycephalus venulosus (veined treefrog)
Lineage: Eukaryota; Metazoa; Chordata; Amphibia; Anura; Hylidae
Description: partial 16S ribosomal RNA
Source: RNAcentral
ACGUGAUCUGAGUUCAGACCGGAGUAAUCCAGGUCAGUUUCUAUCUAUAGUGGAGCUCUUUCUAGUACGAAAGGACCGAAAAAGCAUGGCCAAUACUUAAUGCACGCCAUAGUUAAUAAUUUCUGAUUUAACCUUAAUAAAUAAUUAAUCCCCCAACCGGCUCUAAAAAAGAGCA